UACGUAGGGCGCAAGCGUUGUCCGGAAUUAUUGGGCGUAAAGAGCUCGUAGGUGGCUUGUCACGUCGGGUGUGAAAGCUUGGGGCUUAACUCCAGGUCUGCAUUCGAUACGGGCUGGCUAGAGGUAGGUAGGGGAGAACGGAAUUCCUGGUGUAGCGGUGAAAUGCGCAGAUAUCAGGAGGAACACCGGUGGCGAAGGCGGCAUUCUGGACCGACAUUGACGCUGAGGAGCGAAAGCCAGGGGAGCAAACGGG
This 253-nucleotide ribosomal RNA is filed under the name uncultured bacterium. RNAcentral describes it as "partial 16S ribosomal RNA". It matches the Rfam family "Bacterial small subunit ribosomal RNA", at positions 524 to 776 of the family's 1533-position model. The record is from RNAcentral.